RNAcentral lists this ribosomal RNA (253 nucleotides) under uncultured bacterium. RNAcentral describes it as "partial 16S ribosomal RNA". It matches the Rfam family "Bacterial small subunit ribosomal RNA", at positions 524 to 776 of the family's 1533-position model. The record is from RNAcentral.
UACGUAGGGAGCAAGCGUUGUCCGGAAUCAUUGGGCGUAAAGCGCGCGUAGGUGGCUUCGUAAGUCCGUUGUGAAAGUCAAAGGCUCAACCUUUGAAAGCCGAUGGAUACUGCGGAGCUAGAGUACGGAAGAGGCGAGUGGAAUUCCUGGUGUAGCGGUGGAAUGCGUAGAUAUCGGGAGGAACACCUGUGGCGAAAGCGGCUCACUGGACCACAACUGACGCUGAUGCGCGAAAGCUAGGGGAGCAAACAGG